Molecule: long non-coding RNA, 1663 nt
Organism: Passer domesticus (house sparrow)
Lineage: Eukaryota; Metazoa; Chordata; Aves; Passeriformes; Passeridae
Exons: 2
Source: RefSeq, a predicted model, not a curated record
AUGGCAUUGAAGUCAGGGGAAACAUCCCUUGACUGCUAAGGGGGUAAAGCAUGGAUGACUUAGGAGUGCCCAAGGACAGAGCCAACACCAUGCUGUGCUCACCCUGCCUGUGUGAAAGGAACAGGGGGUGCAAAGGGAAAGGAACAGGGGAACAGUUUGACUUGUAAUAUGGCACAUUGGAGUUAGAGAUGUAACAAUUUUGUGCUAUAGGUUUUAGUCUCUGUGAAUUGUGAGGUCUGGAAGCUUUCUGUAACAGUCUUUCCAAAACAAAGCUGACAGUGCUGAGAACAAGCAGAACUACUCUAGACCUGGAGGAGUUGCAUGGCCAAGUUUCAGGCCAGCUUGAUCUGUCUGGAGUACCCCACCAAAAAUUUGGCUUUGGUUCACAGCUGACCCUAAACUGACACACAUACUGCCUUGCACCUGAGGCUCCUUCUUGGCUUACCAUGGUUCAGGGAGACUCUGGACACGGGAUCCAAGCUGUCUCCUUCUUUGUGGGAUGAUCUUUAACACUUAUGCCAAGAGGGCUCCCAUCCUCACACACCCUUGUGCCAGCUGCUGGGAUUGCAGUGUGCCUUCGGCAGCAUGACAGACUGCUGGAGCUACUCAGAGCUGCUGGAGAAGCUGCAGAGAAACAGAAAACGUCUCGGGCACGAGGGAUGAGGAGAAGCCAAGGCAGUAACCUGCCAACAGUGCCCAGUGCCAAGGCAUGCAAAUCUCAUGAUCGAGUUGAGACCUACAGAAGUAACCCUUAGAUCACAGUUCCUCUUCAAGAGCCAAGUCACAAAAGAAGAACAAGAGUUCCUGUCAAUAUCUCUUUGCAAUGACUACACUGCUUUGGUUUUUGAGUCAGAUUCCUGAGGAUCAAGAAAGAAGCUGCUGUAACACAGCUGAAGUCACAGAUAUUCAACAGUGAUGGUAUUAAACAGCUGAAUAGAGCAAGAGCAAGAGAGAAGGUUGAAGCUCCAGAGGGCUUGAGAUCAAAACAUAAGGAACAUGGAAAACAUGAGAGAUUGGUUUUAAAUACUAGAAAGGACCAAUGGAGAGAAUGAAUCCAUAUUACAGUAAUUUCACUGAUCCACUUUACAGUAUUUUUUUUAUUUGUGAGAUAAAUUAUUCUUGUAAUUUUAAAAAGUAUUUCUUUAUUCCUGCUGGGAGGACCUAGUUGACAUCAGUUGUAAAUGUGUUAGGACAGAAAAAUCAAAGUGUUUAACCGCUGCGAGGCACUCUCAUAAUAUCAUAAUGCCUUUUGAAGCGGUAAUUCAAUGAUUGAUCAGAGGAGAUCUAAUUAACUGACUACAUUAUAUGAAAAAAACAACCAUGGAGAAAGCUGUGAUACUCUGGGUAUCACAUUCAUCAGAAUCUUUGCUCUGCUGCAUGGGUGUGGGUGUUCUAAGGAAAAGCCAAACCUUCAUUCAAUGGAUCACCUAAAAAUAAACCUUAAGAUUAAAAGUUUCCUUUCUCUUUCUAUCUUGCCUUUCCCAUAUUAUUGCUUUGCAUACUUCUAGACAUUUUAGGAAGUGCAUAGACCAUAUUUGUCACUAAAAUAUUCAGCAUUAAGCUAAUUGCUUAAAUCUAAUAUUCACCCACACACUAUCUAUAUGGGGGUGAAAUUUAGAUGUGAACAUUACCUUAAUAAAAUGCCUUCUAUUCUUGUUUCCCA